AAAAGCGAAGGGAUUUCCCAUAUGACGUCACAGCUUUUUGGGAAAUCCCCGAGCAGACGUCAAAAUGUCAAGCUCAAGCGAGAUGGCGACCGCAGAAAAGAAAGCGAGAAAAGUCAACUGGACUCGGAACGAGAUGGAUUGUUUAGUUGAUGAGGUGGAGAACCAUAAGUCUGUUUUAUUUAGCUCAUUUUCAUCCGUUGUUACCAACAGCAAGAAGCAACAGAUUUGGAAGGACAUAUCAAACAGAGUCAGUGCUUGCGGGUCCUCUAUCCGCUCAUCAGAGGAUGUGAAAAAAAAAUGGACCACUCUAAAGAGCGACACAAGGAGGGAAAGCCACUAGCCUAAAGAAGGCUAUAUUCCAGACAGGCGGAGGGCCACCACCCAUCUCCACUGAGUGACUUUGAGUAUAAGGUGGUGUCCCUCAUUCCAUCUGUUCAAAUCAAUGGUUGCACAGGGGGCUGGAUAGUGAAGACAUGUCAGCCUUCUCAGGAUUGGGCAGUGUGUUGUGUGAUGCAGCUGUUCCCUCGACUUCAAGUAGCAGCAACAAUUUGAAUGUCAACUCUGCCCGGACAUCACCUAUCCUACUGUCCUGCACUCCACCUCGACAAGCAGCACCACCAACACCGCAUGAUCCACCAGCAUCGUUCCAAUUGUCACCAGUCAUAGUUUCAAGACCUACGAGUAAGAAACAAAGACAAAAGUUCAUACACAUGAAGACAGUGCAGCCCAGGCAGCUGAAGUGGUCCAGCUUGAGAGGGAGAA
Long non-coding RNA from Haliotis rubra (blacklip abalone), 762 nucleotides. RefSeq lists it as uncharacterized. The record is from RefSeq and is a predicted model, not a curated record. NCBI's taxonomy places the organism in Eukaryota, Metazoa, Mollusca, Gastropoda, Lepetellida, Haliotidae. The transcript is spliced from 7 exons.